This 426-nucleotide ribosomal RNA is filed under the name uncultured bacterium. Its description in RNAcentral is "bacterial SSU rRNA". It matches the Rfam family "Bacterial small subunit ribosomal RNA", at positions 354 to 796 of the family's 1533-position model. The record is from RNAcentral.
GCAAGGAAUCUUGCGCAAUGGGCGAAAGCCUGACGCAGCGACGCCGCGUGAGGGAAGAAGGCCUUCGGGUCGUAAACCUCUUUUCUCGGGGAAGAAUAAUGACGGUACCCGAGGAAUAAGCCACGGCAAACUACGUGCCAGCAGUCGCGGUAACACGUAGGUGGCGAGCGUUAUCCGGAUUUAUUGGGCGUAAAGCGGGCGCAGGCGGCCUUUUAAGUCGAAUGUUAAAUUCCCCGGCUUAACUGGGGCAAACCAUUCGAUACUGUAGGGCUUGAGUGCAGCAGAGGGAGGUGGAAUUCCCGGUGUAGUGGUGAAAUGCGUAGAUAUCGGGAGGAACACUCGUGGCGAAGGCGGCCUCCUGGGCUGUAUCUGACGCUCAUGCCCGAAAGCGUGGGGAGCGAACAGGAUUAGAUACCCCUGUAGUCC